This 496-nucleotide ribosomal RNA is filed under the name uncultured bacterium. RNAcentral's name for it is "partial 16S ribosomal RNA". It matches the Rfam family "Bacterial small subunit ribosomal RNA", at positions 28 to 507 of the family's 1533-position model. The record is from RNAcentral.
GACGAACGCUGGCGGCGUGCCUAAUACAUGCAAGUUGAGCGCUGAAGGUUGGUACUUGUACCAACUGGAUGAGCAGCAAACGGGUGAGUAACGCGUGGGGAAUCUGCCUUUGAGCGGGGGACAACAUUUGGAAACGAAUGCUAAUACCGCAUAAAAACUUUAAACACAAGUUUUAAGUUUGAAAGAUGCAAUUGCAUCACUCAAAGAUGAUCCCGCGUUGUAUUAGCUAGUUGGUGAGGUAAAGGCUCACCAAGGCGAUGAUAAUAGCCGACCUGAGAGGGUGAUCGGCCACAUUGGGACUGAGACACGGCCCAAACUCCUACGGGAGGCAGCAGUAGGGAAUCUUCGGCAAUGGACGAAAGUCUGACCGAGCAACGCCGCGUGAGUGAAGAAGGUUUUCGGAUCGUAAAACUCUGUUGGUAGAGAAGAACGUUGGUGAGAGUGGAAAGCUCAUCAAGUGACGGUAACUACCCAGAAAGGGACGGCUAACUACGUG